Molecule: long non-coding RNA, 1059 nt
Organism: Bacillus rossius redtenbacheri
Lineage: Eukaryota; Metazoa; Arthropoda; Insecta; Phasmatodea; Bacillidae
Exons: 4
Source: RefSeq, a predicted model, not a curated record
UGAUGUUUGUAUAUGCAUGCUGUAUUUUCUAGCUAUGGUUUCGCUCUAAAUUAUGACUUUGAAGGAAGGGAUACUGCAAAUUGUGACAGUUAUCAAAGCAAAUUUGAACGUUAAAGGCGGGAAUGUAGAAAUUUUAAUAUUGUUACAGGCAGGAAAUUAAAGCAUUGUGAUAAAUGGAGAAAUGAUGGGACCAUGAAAUUAUGGUGUUAUAGGCGGGAAAAUGUUAAAAAAGGGAAUGUUAUAACCGGGUUGUACUGUAUAUGCCAGCGAUCCGGCUGACGUAGUAUGGCCACUCACGUAAGGCUGUUCCAAACACCGUUCGCCCAAUCAUCUGCUUGAUUUUGUAUUUAUCCGGUGUCGCUGUUCCAAGCUGACAUCAGUGCCCCGAGCGGUCUCCAGACCCGCUGCGAACUGAGACGGGAACACCCGGUCGUGGGCCCGCGACUCACCCCUCGCGCCCAGUUCUGAGGGGAGUCCGGGCUGCUGGUGUUCUGCUCGGGCGACGUGGGCGUGGACCGGUUGGCCAGCGACUGCCGCUGCUUGCCGGCGAAUUGCUUCUUGUUCUUCAUGCCCACCUUCUUCUCCCGCCUGCGGCACGCAACGACAGUCACUGCCCUGCCCCGGCCAUGAUCCACAGUAUCUGGGUCAUCUUAUAUUCCAGUUGGUCUUUUAUUCGAGGAAUCGAGGCUAACUCACUUGAUGAGCAGCUGCUCCCACUGCUGCACCUGCCGCCUCUUCACCUCGAGCAGCUGGCGCUGCUGGUCCACCUGCAGCGUCUUGAGCCGCAGCUCCUCCCGCUCCUGCUCGAACUGCAGGUUGCGCGCGAUGAUCUCCAGGUCCGCCUCGAAGCGCGACAUGUGGCUGCCGUGCGACUGGACCUGCUGCAUCUGCAGGCGGAUCUCCUGCCUCCAGGUGGCCUGGGCGGGGAGCGACAAGCACGGCCACUACGGUACAUGUUGUUGUAGCUGAAGUGAAGUAUGCUCGUGUAUCUACAUCUAUUCCUACUGUGAAUAUAUGAUCAGCUCAUACAACAAAUACUAAUAAACCAAUAGCAGCUAU